UAAUGUGUGGGUCUUUAAAAAUAGCUUCUUAACUAAUGCACUUAAAGAGAUUAGGACACUUGAUAGGACUUCUUUUCAGAAGAAUUCUUGACACGGGACCCCCACCCCAUGCUUACUCCUUGUCACUACCUCCCUCCCUGCAGGUAACCACGAAACUGACUUCUGACACUAUAAGUGACUUGAAUCUCUUCCGAAUUUUAUGUGCAUGAAAUCAUAGUGUGUUCUUUUCGUGCCUGGGUACUUGCCAUGUUAUUUUAUGGUGUCAUUGAUAUAUUGAUGAUUACAUAUUAUGGUGUCAUGAUAUAUUUAUUUAGAUCAAGGCAAUGAUCAUCAAAAUCUGCUAAAAUCUUUAGGUGAUAGGUUGAUAAAGAACUUUGAAAUAGUUCCAUCAGGGUGACCCCUGCAGAACCACAGGUCUUCUUGGUAAUUAUUAAUCUUCUUCCUGUUGGGAUACAAUGAGAAGUAC
Molecule: long non-coding RNA, 466 nt
Filed under: Homo sapiens (human)
Lineage: Eukaryota; Metazoa; Chordata; Mammalia; Primates; Hominidae
Description: non-protein coding lnc-FAM9A-2:1
Source: RNAcentral